AAGAGUUUGAUCAUGGCUCAGAUUGAACGCUGGCGGCAGGCCUAACACAUGCAAGUCGAACGGUAACAGGAAGCAGCUUGCUGCUUUGCUGACGAGUGGCGGACGGGUGAGUAAUGUCUGGGAAACUGCCUGAUGGAGGGGGAUAACUACUGGAAACGGUAGCUAAUACCGCAUAACGUCGCAAGACCAAAGAGGGGGACCUUAGGGCCUCUUGCCAUCGGAUGUGCCCAGAUGGGAUUAGCUAGUAGGUGGGGUAAAGGCUCACCUAGGCGACGAUCCCUAGCUGGUCUGAGAGGAUGACCAGCCACACUGGAACUGAGACACGGUCCAGACUCCUACGGGAGGCAGCAGUGGGGAAUAUUGCACAAUGGGCGCAAGCCUGAUGCAGCCAUGCCGCGUGUAUGAAGAAGGCCUUCGGGUUGUAAAGUACUUUCAGCGGGGAGGAAGGGAGUAAAGUUAAUACCUUUGCUCAUUGACGUUACCCGCAGAAGAAGCACCGGCUAACUCCGUGCCAGCAGCCGCGGUAAUACGGAGGGUGCAAGCGUUAAUCGGAAUUACUGGGCGUAAAGCGCACGCAGGCGGUUUGUUAAGUCAGAUGUGAAAUCCCCGGGCUCAACCUGGGAACUGCAUCUGAUACUGGCAAGCUUGAGUCUCGUAGAGGGGGGUAGAAUUCCAGGUGUAGCGGUGAAAUGCGUAGAGAUCUGGAGGAAUACCGGUGGCGAAGGCG
RNAcentral lists this ribosomal RNA (727 nucleotides) under Escherichia coli. RNAcentral's name for it is "bacterial SSU rRNA". It matches the Rfam family "Bacterial small subunit ribosomal RNA", at positions 1 to 723 of the family's 1533-position model. Lineage: Bacteria; Pseudomonadati; Pseudomonadota; Gammaproteobacteria; Enterobacterales; Enterobacteriaceae. The record is from RNAcentral.